GGCCUAACACAUGCAAGUCGAGCGGUAACAUUUCUAGCUUGCUAGAAGAUGACGAGCGGCGGACGGGUGAGUAAUGCUUGGGAACAUGCCUUUAGGUGGGGGACAACCAUUGGAAACGAUGGCUAAUACCGCAUAAUGUCUACGGACCAAAGGGGGCUUCGGCUCUCGCCUUUAGAUUGGCCCAAGUGGGAUUAGGUAGUUGGUGAGGUAAUGGCUCACCAAGCCGACGAUCCCUAGCUGGUUUGAGAGGAUGAUCAGCCACACUGGAACUGAGACACGGUCCAGACUCCUACGGGAGGCAGCAGUGGGGAAUAUUGCACAAUGGGCGCAAGCCUGAUGCAGCCAUGCCGCGUGUGUGAAGAAGGCCUUCGGGUUGUAAAGCACUUUCAGUUGUGAGGAAAGGUUAGUAGUUAAUACCUGCUAGCUGUGACGUUAACAACAGAAGAAGCACCGGCUAACUCCGUGCCAGCAGCCGCGGUAAUACGGAGGGUGCGAGCGUUAAUCGGAAUUACUGGGCGUAAAGCGUACGCAGGCGGUUUGUUAAGCGAGAUGUGAAAGCCCCGGGCUCAACCUGGGAACUGCAUUUCGAACUGGCAAACUAGAGUGUGAUAGAGGGUGGUAGAAUUUCAGGUGUAGCGGUGAAAUGCGUAGAGAUCUGAAGGAAUACCGAUGGCGAAGGCAGCCACCUGGGUCAACACUGACGCUCAUGUACGAAAGCGUGGGGAGCAAACGGGAUUAGAUACCCCGGUAGUCCACGCCGUAAACGAUGUCUACUAGGAGUUCGGUUUUUCGGAACUGUCUUCCAAAGCUAACGCAUUAAGUAGACCGCCUGGGGAGUACGGCCGCAAGGUUAAAACUCAAAUGAAUUGACGGGGCCCGCACAAGCGGUGGAGCAUGUGGUUUAAUUCGAUGCACGCGAAGAACCUUACCUACACUUGACA
This 941-nucleotide ribosomal RNA is filed under the name Pseudoalteromonas spongiae. RNAcentral describes it as "bacterial SSU rRNA". It matches the Rfam family "Bacterial small subunit ribosomal RNA", at positions 45 to 986 of the family's 1533-position model. The record is from RNAcentral. Lineage: Bacteria; Pseudomonadati; Pseudomonadota; Gammaproteobacteria; Alteromonadales; Pseudoalteromonadaceae.